RNAcentral lists this long non-coding RNA (291 nucleotides) under Elaeis guineensis (African oil palm). Its description in RNAcentral is "long non-coding RNA (EGUI_LNC010375)". Lineage: Eukaryota; Viridiplantae; Streptophyta; Magnoliopsida; Arecales; Arecaceae. The record is from RNAcentral.
GGAGAUGAUCACUUCCAUUGUGGGUACGAAGAUUCAGGAGAACGAGCGAGAUUGGAGGAUAAAAAGAAAAACAUGAAAUAUGGAGAUAAAUUAGAAGAGAGCAAUCAAAAAAGAAGGGAAAAAAAAGAAAAAUUAAAAAAAAUUAGAAAAAACUUACAUAUUUGAGAUGAGAGAGAGCUUUCCAUGAAGGGAAGCCGUUGGUUCUAUUGUGAGUACGGAGAUCUAGGAGGAGAGAGAAAAAUAUAGAUCCACUGUCUGUCAUCAUUGGACUAAGAAAGGAAUGGAGCGUCC